UCCCUGGUGGCUGAGAUGGUAAAGAAUCUGCCUGCCAAUGCAAGAGACCCAGGUUCGAUCCCUGGCUUGGGAA
This 73-nucleotide transfer RNA is filed under the name Bos taurus (domestic cattle). It matches the Rfam family "tRNA". Rfam says of the family: Transfer RNA (tRNA) molecules are approximately 80 nucleotides in length. Their secondary structure includes four short double-helical elements and three loops (D, anti-codon, and T loops). Further hydrogen bonds mediate the characteristic L-shaped molecular structure. tRNAs have two regions of fundamental functional importance: the anti-codon, which is responsible for specific mRNA codon recognition, and the 3' end, to which the tRNAs corresponding amino acid is attached (by aminoacyl-tRNA synthetases). tRNAs cope with the degeneracy of the genetic code in two manners: having more than one tRNA (with a specific anti-codon) for a particular amino acid; and 'wobble' base-pairing, i.e. permitting non-standard base-pairing at the 3rd anti-codon position. The record is from Rfam by way of RNAcentral. RNAcentral also lists the same sequence under 6 other names. Lineage: Eukaryota; Metazoa; Chordata; Mammalia; Artiodactyla; Bovidae.